Molecule: ribosomal RNA, 253 nt
Filed under: uncultured bacterium
Lineage: Bacteria
Description: partial 16S ribosomal RNA
Rfam family: Bacterial small subunit ribosomal RNA
Source: RNAcentral
UACGUAGGGUGCAAGCGUUAAUCGGAAUUACUGGGCGUAAAGCGUGCGCAGGCGGUUAUGCAAGACAGAUGUGAAAUCCCCGGGCUCAACCUGGGAACUGCAUUUGUGACUGCAUAGCUAGAGUACGGCAGAGGGGGGUGGAAUUCCGCGUGUAGCAGUGAAAUGCGUAGAGAUGCGGAGGAACACCGAUGGCGAAGGCAGCCCCCUGGGUUGACACUGACGCUCAGGCACGAAAGCGUGGGGAGCAAACAGG